UUCGGUUUCCUCCAACAUCUCA
This 22-nucleotide microRNA is filed under the name Asparagus officinalis (garden asparagus). Its description in RNAcentral is "aof-miR2275a". Lineage: Eukaryota; Viridiplantae; Streptophyta; Magnoliopsida; Asparagales; Asparagaceae. The record is from miRBase by way of RNAcentral.